CUUGCUUUCUUCCACAAUGGGGAGAACAUCUGGGGAUGGUGUUAAUUGUCUAAGGUUGAGAUUUAUUUUCAAGUAGUCUCAACUACUCAGUGAGCCAGAAGCAAGUAUCUAGGGAGUGAAGAUGAAUGGCCUGGACCAGGAGCCUUCAGGAGAAAUGCCUGUCUUUUUAAGGAGCAGCCCCCGUCCUGGGCUCCUGCUGCAUGUUGUGGAUGGAGCCUGAGCUCUCACGCUGACUCUUGCUGCCCUCUGAGGACACCGUCUGACUUCCUGUGCUGCUGUUGCCCUCUCUGCACCAUCACAGCUUCCCGUCAGCUCCCAUCUGACUCACCAAGUCUUGCAGUGGCCACCACACACCUCAUCCCAUGACUGCCCAUCUGGACCUUGACCAGUGCCAAGAAAAUAGUAAGAGAACCAGAGAUUCACACCCUAGUGGGACUUGGUGACCUCCUGGCACUUUCCUUGGCAUGGGUCUCCCUGCCCACUGGUUUCACCCAGUGCAGGCUUUGUUCCUAAAGACUGCUCAGGAGUCUCCGGCAGGAGGAAGUUUGUUCCACAAGCUGCCUUUCUCCUGGUAGCUGCUACCUUUCUGAACCUACAUUUCAGGAUGAUAUAAUCAGCGGCAGUUGAACUGGAGCACUCUUCCCUCUACAAAUUUCUUAAAAUGAAAAAUACUUUUGUCUCA
Molecule: long non-coding RNA, 682 nt
Organism: Erinaceus europaeus (western European hedgehog)
Lineage: Eukaryota; Metazoa; Chordata; Mammalia; Eulipotyphla; Erinaceidae
Exons: 2
Source: RefSeq, a predicted model, not a curated record